UAGGGAAUCUUCGGCAAUGGACGAAAGUCUGACCGAGCAACGCCGCGUGAGUGAAGAAGGUUUUCGGGUCGUAAAACUCUGUUGGUAGAGAAGAACGUUGGUGAGAGUGGAAAGCUCAUCAAGUGACGGUAACUACCCAGAAAGGGACGGCUAACUACGUGCCAG
This 165-nucleotide ribosomal RNA is filed under the name uncultured bacterium. Its description in RNAcentral is "partial 16S ribosomal RNA". It matches the Rfam family "Bacterial small subunit ribosomal RNA", at positions 355 to 511 of the family's 1533-position model. The record is from RNAcentral.